This 28-nucleotide non-coding RNA is filed under the name Rattus norvegicus (Norway rat). Lineage: Eukaryota; Metazoa; Chordata; Mammalia; Rodentia; Muridae. The record is from RNAcentral.
UACCCUGUCUUAAGCCCUCAGGAGUGGG